This 193-nucleotide unclassified non-coding RNA is filed under the name rhizosphere metagenome. RNAcentral describes it as "partial ribosomal RNA internal transcribed spacer region". The record is from RNAcentral.
GAGUAUCAUGCCCUCACGGGUAGAUCUCCACCCUUGAAUAACAUACCUUUGUUGCUUUGGCAGGACGCACUCGUGCCAGGGGCUUCGGCUCUUGAGUGCCUGCCAGAGGACCCAAACUCUUGUUUUACCAGUGGUAUCUUCUGAGUAAUUUUAUAAAUAAAUCAAAACUUUCAACAACGGAUCUCUUGGUUCU